GCAGCUGUAGCCGAGUGGUUAAGGCGAUGGAAUUGAAAUCCUUUGGGGUCUCCCCGCGUAGGUUCGAAUCCUGCCGGCUGCG
Non-coding RNA from Trichonephila clavipes, 82 nucleotides. Lineage: Eukaryota; Metazoa; Arthropoda; Arachnida; Araneae; Nephilidae. The record is from the annotation of a GenBank genome assembly.